RNAcentral lists this ribosomal RNA (253 nucleotides) under uncultured bacterium. Its description in RNAcentral is "partial 16S ribosomal RNA". It matches the Rfam family "Bacterial small subunit ribosomal RNA", at positions 524 to 776 of the family's 1533-position model. The record is from RNAcentral.
UACAGAGGGGGCAAGCGUUGUUCGGAAUCACUGGGCAUAAAGGGCGCGUAGGCGGCUUUUCAAGUCAGGGGUGAAAUCCGGCAGCUCAACUGUCGAAGUGCCUUUGAUACUGUAGAGCUCGAGGGAGGUAGGGGUGUGCGGAACUUCCGGUGGAGCGGUGAAAUGCGUUGAUAUCGGAAGGAACGCCGGUGGCGAACGCGGCGCACUGGACCUCUUCUGACGCUGAGGCGCGAAAGCCAGGGGAGCAAACGGG